This is a long non-coding RNA of Trachemys scripta elegans, 747 nucleotides long. RefSeq lists it as uncharacterized. The record is from RefSeq and is a predicted model, not a curated record. NCBI's taxonomy places the organism in Eukaryota, Metazoa, Chordata, Testudines, Emydidae. The transcript has 2 exons.
UUACUCAGGGUGAUGUCAUCACCCUACUUCGGCCUUCCAGGUCGCCCUGAAUUUCUAAUGUUAGAACAAGCGGGGAAACGCUUUAAAAAAAGACCCGGGAUUAUAAAAUCCUUCAGGACUUCAUGAGCCACCCAGAGAACCAGCGACAAACCCACUGCGAUUACUCGGUCUGAAGGCCCCUUUCACUCAGCCAAGCAGCACCCACCCCCGACAACGCGGGGACGUCACCACAGGACCUGGCGGCUCGGCAGACGGAGCAGGCCUGGCAGCGCAGGGGGGUGGGAGUCAUAACCGCGCCGGGCCCAAGGGGAGCGAGGCUGAGUCCGACCCGCCCCCCGGCCGCGCGCUCCCCCUCCUGGGCAGGCAGCAGGGGAGGAACUCGCGGCCGGCUAACCGCCGCCCCCUCGCGCCACGCGGGAACGGAGGUCCUUGCCGGCCUGGCUGUUGAGAGGCCGCCGCAGCCGCUAGCCCGGCCACCCCUCUGCCAGAUUAUUGGAGUAAUUUUUAUUGAAAAUAUAAGAUCUACAAAGCCAUGGAUACCCAGCGUGGAAGAACUCAUUAAAUUAGCACAUUCAUCUUUAAAAGGAGAACUUCUGAUCAACAUAAGGUACAACAAUGUUGGAUUUAAAAUCUCUACUCUCCUUCUGUGAGUUUCAAAUCUCUUUUUAUUAGGAGGUUCUGUGCAAGAGCUGCUUGUCACGAAAGGAAACACUUUACAAUUAAUGAAUGUGUUCAUUAUAUAAUAAA